UAAAGUAGAAUUCUGAACAGAUUUCUCCCCAACUCUUUCCCUGUGUCUCUCCCCAGUGUAGGCUGAACUGGGCCACAGCAUCCGAGCUGGGAGAACUGGGGGAAGAGACGGGAGAGGGCAGCUCCGCUGACUGGAGGAGUACCAGCUGGUCUCAAACAGUCAGAUCUUUGAAAAAGAAGAAGAAAGAGAUAAAAAGGUUGAAUGGUGUGGUCCACGGUCACUCUCUUUUCAUUGUUCCUGGG
This 242-nucleotide long non-coding RNA is filed under the name Salmo trutta (river trout). RNAcentral describes it as "lncRNA (ENSSTUG00000024174.1)". The record is from RNAcentral. Lineage: Eukaryota; Metazoa; Chordata; Actinopteri; Salmoniformes; Salmonidae.